This 618-nucleotide ribosomal RNA is filed under the name Microbacterium aurantiacum. RNAcentral's name for it is "partial 16S ribosomal RNA". It matches the Rfam family "Bacterial small subunit ribosomal RNA", at positions 171 to 803 of the family's 1533-position model. The record is from RNAcentral. Lineage: Bacteria; Bacillati; Actinomycetota; Actinomycetes; Micrococcales; Microbacteriaceae.
GGAUAUGAGCUCUCAUCGCAUGGUGGGGGUUGGAAAGAUUUUUCGGUCUGGGAUGGGCUCGCGGCCUAUCAGCUUGUUGGUGAGGUAAUGGCUCACCAAGGCGUCGACGGGUAGCCGGCCUGAGAGGGUGACCGGCCACACUGGGACUGAGACACGGCCCAGACUCCUACGGGAGGCAGCAGUGGGGAAUAUUGCACAAUGGGCGGAAGCCUGAUGCAGCAACGCCGCGUGAGGGAUGACGGCCUUCGGGUUGUAAACCUCUUUUAGCAGGGAAGAAGCGAGAGUGACGGUACCUGCAGAAAAAGCGCCGGCUAACUACGUGCCAGCAGCCGCGGUAAUACGUAGGGCGCAAGCGUUAUCCGGAAUUAUUGGGCGUAAAGAGCUCGUAGGCGGUUUGUCGCGUCUGCUGUGAAAUCCCGAGGCUCAACCUCGGGCCUGCAGUGGGUACGGGCAGACUAGAGUGCGGUAGGGGAGAUUGGAAUUCCUGGUGUAGCGGUGGAAUGCGCAGAUAUCAGGAGGAACACCGAUGGCGAAGGCAGAUCUCUGGGCCGUAACUGACGCUGAGGAGCGAAAGGGUGGGGAGCAAACAGGCUUAGAUACCCUGGUAGUCCACCCCGU